GUGCCAGCAGCCGCGGUAAUACCGGCAGCACAAGUGAUGGCCGAUAUUAUUGGGCCUAAAGCGUCCGUAGCCGGCCGGACAAGUCCGUUGGGAAAUCUGCGCGCUUAACGCGCAGGCGUCCAGCGGAAACUGUCCGGCUUGGGGCCGGAAGAUCCGAGGGGUACGUCCGGGGUAGGAGUGAAAUCCCGUAAUCCUGGACGGACCGCCGAUGGCGAAAGCACUUCGAGAAAACGGAUCCGACAGUGAGGGACGAAAGCUAAGAUCGCGAACCGGAUUAGAUACCGGGUAGUCC
This 292-nucleotide ribosomal RNA is filed under the name uncultured bacterium. RNAcentral describes it as "partial 16S ribosomal RNA". It matches the Rfam family "Archaeal small subunit ribosomal RNA", at positions 455 to 747 of the family's 1478-position model. The record is from RNAcentral.